RNAcentral lists this unclassified non-coding RNA (327 nucleotides) under uncultured Tomentella. RNAcentral's name for it is "sequence contains 5.8S rRNA gene". Lineage: Eukaryota; Fungi; Basidiomycota; Agaricomycetes; Thelephorales; Thelephoraceae. The record is from RNAcentral.
GAACGCACCUUGCGCCCUUUGGCUAUUCCGAAGGGCAUGCCUGUUUGAGUAUCAUGAACAUCCUCAACUCCUCAUGGCUUGCCGUGAUGAGCUUUGGACUUUGGAGGUCUUUGCUGGCUUGUGGGUCAGCUCCUCUCAAAUGGAUCAGCUUACCAGUGUUCGGUGGCAUCACAGGUGUGAUAACUAUAUAUCUACGCUUGUGGCUUUCCGCUGGGUAACCUUCGUCACUGAAGGUUCACACUGGGGCUCAUAAAUGUCUCUCCUCAGUGAAGACAGCUCUUUGAACGUUUGAUCUCAAAUCAGGUAGGACUACCCGCUGAACUUAAG